RNAcentral lists this ribosomal RNA (425 nucleotides) under uncultured bacterium. RNAcentral describes it as "bacterial SSU rRNA". It matches the Rfam family "Bacterial small subunit ribosomal RNA", at positions 355 to 794 of the family's 1533-position model. The record is from RNAcentral.
UGGGGGAUAUUGCACAAUGGGGGAAACCCUGAUGCAGCAACGCCGCGUGAGGGAAGACGGUUUUCGGAUUGUAAACCUUUGUCUUUGGUGAAGAAGAAAGUGACGGUAGCCAAGGAGGAAGCCCCGGCUAACUACGUGCCAGCAGCCGCGGUAAUACGUAGGGGGCGAGCGUUGUCCGGAAUGAUUGGGCGUAAAGGGCGCGUAGGCGGCUUGGUAAGUCCGGAGUGAAAGUCCUGCUUUUAAGGUGGGAAUUGCUUUGGAUACUGCUGGGCUUGAGUGCAGGAGAGGAAAGCGGAAUUACCGGUGUAGCGGUGAAAUGCGUAGAGAUCGGUAGGAACACCAGUGGCGAAGGCGGCUUUCUGGACUGAAACUGACGCUGAGGCGCGAAAGCGUGGGGAGCAAACAGGAUUAGAUACCCUGGUAGU